AAUAAGUUUAUUUAUGAGUUUUUUAUCCAACCUUUGAUUGUCCGUUCUAUUUAAAAUUUUUUAUAAUUAGUAUUUUUAUUGUUAUUAUAUGAUAUAGAACAUGAAUAGUAUUUUAUACUUAACUUAUUUUUAUUUUUUUUAAUAAUUUUUUUAAAUAAAACGAAUGGUUAAAUGUUAAACAUAGAAACCCGCAAAUGAACUUAUU
MicroRNA precursor from Oryza sativa Japonica Group (Japanese rice), 205 nucleotides. It matches the Rfam family "MIR812 microRNA precursor family". The record is from Rfam. NCBI's taxonomy places the organism in Eukaryota, Viridiplantae, Streptophyta, Magnoliopsida, Poales, Poaceae.